AGAGUUUGAUCCUGGCUCAGGAUGAACGCUGGCGGCGUGCUUAACACAUGCAAGUCGAACGAACCUUCGGGUUAGUGGCGGACGGGUGAGUAACGCGUGGGAAUCUGCCCUCAGGAGGGGGAUAACGGCUGGAAACGGCCGCUAAUACCCCAUAUGCCGAGAGGUGAAAGGAAAUUCGCCUGAGGAUGAGCCCGCGUCUGAUUAGCUAGUUGGUGGGGUAAGAGCUUACCAAGGCGACGAUCAGUAGCUGGUCUGAGAGGAUGAUCAGCCACACUGGGACUGAGACACGGUCCAGACUCCUACGGGAGGCAGCAGUGGGGAAUUUUCCGCAAUGGGCGAAAGCCUGACGGAGCAACGCCGCGUGAGGGAUGAAGGCCUCUGGACUGUAAACCUCUUUUCUCAAGGAAGAAGACAUGACGGUACUUGAGGAAUAAGCCACGGCUAAUUCCGUGCCAGCAGCCGCGGUAAUACGGGAGUGGCAAGCGUUAUCCGGAAUUAUUGGGCGUAAAGCGUCCGCAGGCGGCCCUGUAAGUCUGUCGUUAAAGCGUGGAGCUUAACUCCAUUUAAGCGAUGGAAACUACAGGGCUUGAGUGUGGUAGGGGCAGAGGGAAUUCCCGGUGUAGCGGUGAAAUGCGUAGAUAUCGGGAAGAACACCAGUGGCGAAGGCACUCUGCUGGGCCAUAACUGACGCUCAUGGACGAAAGCCAGGGGAGCGAAAGGGAUUAGAUACCCCUGUAGUCCUGGCCGUAAACGAUGAACACUAGGUGUCGGGGGAAUCGACCCCCUCGGUGUCGUAGCCAACGCGUUAAGUGUUCCGCCUGGGGAGUACGCACGCAAGUGUGAAACUCAAAGGAAUUGACGGGGGCCCGCACAAGCGGUGGAGUAUGUGGUUUAAUUCGAUGCAACGCGAAGAACCUUACCAGGGUUUGACAUCCUGCGAAUCCCUUGGAAACGAGGGAGUGCCUUCGGGAGCGCAGAGACAGGUGGUGCAUGGCUGUCGUCAGCUCGUGUCGUGAGAUGUUGGGUUAAGUCCCGCAACGAGCGCAACCCACGUCUUUAGCCUUGCCAGCAUUCAGUUGGGCACUCUAGAGAGACCGCCGGUGAUAAACCGGAGGAAGGUGUGGAUGACGUCAAGUCAUCAUGCCCCUUACAUCCUGGGCUACACACGUACUACAAUGCUACGGACAAAGGGCAGCAAGCUCGCGAGAGUUAGCAAAUCCCAUAAACCGUGGCUCAGUUCAGAUCGUAGGCUGCAACUCGCCUACGUGAAGGAGGAAUCGCUAGUAAUCGCAGGUCAGCAUACUGCGGUGGAUACGUUCCCGGGCCUUGUACACACCGCCCGUCACACCAUGGAAGUUGGCCAUGCCCGAAGUCGUUACUCCAACCCUG
Molecule: ribosomal RNA, 1389 nt
Filed under: metagenome
Description: bacterial SSU rRNA
Rfam family: Bacterial small subunit ribosomal RNA
Source: RNAcentral